GCGGCGUAGCCAAAUGGCUAAGGCAGAGGUCUGCAAAACCUCCAUUUACCGGUUCGAGUCCGGUCGCCG
Molecule: transfer RNA, 69 nt
Filed under: Prymnesium neolepis
Lineage: Eukaryota; Haptophyta; Prymnesiales; Prymnesiaceae
Rfam family: tRNA
About the family: Transfer RNA (tRNA) molecules are approximately 80 nucleotides in length. Their secondary structure includes four short double-helical elements and three loops (D, anti-codon, and T loops). Further hydrogen bonds mediate the characteristic L-shaped molecular structure. tRNAs have two regions of fundamental functional importance: the anti-codon, which is responsible for specific mRNA codon recognition, and the 3' end, to which the tRNAs corresponding amino acid is attached (by aminoacyl-tRNA synthetases). tRNAs cope with the degeneracy of the genetic code in two manners: having more than one tRNA (with a specific anti-codon) for a particular amino acid; and 'wobble' base-pairing, i.e. permitting non-standard base-pairing at the 3rd anti-codon position.
Source: RNAcentral